GCCGGGGUGGCGGAACAGGCAGACGCAGGGGACUUAAAAUCCCCCGAUCGAAAGAUCAUACCGGUUCGAUUCCGGUCCUCGGCACCA
Molecule: transfer RNA, 87 nt
Filed under: Selenomonas sp. oral taxon 126
Lineage: Bacteria; Bacillati; Bacillota; Negativicutes; Selenomonadales; Selenomonadaceae
Description: tRNA-Leu
Rfam family: tRNA
About the family: Transfer RNA (tRNA) molecules are approximately 80 nucleotides in length. Their secondary structure includes four short double-helical elements and three loops (D, anti-codon, and T loops). Further hydrogen bonds mediate the characteristic L-shaped molecular structure. tRNAs have two regions of fundamental functional importance: the anti-codon, which is responsible for specific mRNA codon recognition, and the 3' end, to which the tRNAs corresponding amino acid is attached (by aminoacyl-tRNA synthetases). tRNAs cope with the degeneracy of the genetic code in two manners: having more than one tRNA (with a specific anti-codon) for a particular amino acid; and 'wobble' base-pairing, i.e. permitting non-standard base-pairing at the 3rd anti-codon position.
Source: RNAcentral